Molecule: ribosomal RNA, 158 nt
Filed under: Hohenbuehelia leightonii
Lineage: Eukaryota; Fungi; Basidiomycota; Agaricomycetes; Agaricales; Pleurotaceae
Description: 5.8S ribosomal RNA
Rfam family: 5.8S ribosomal RNA
About the family: 5.8S ribosomal RNA (5.8S rRNA) is a component of the large subunit of the eukaryotic ribosome. It is transcribed by RNA polymerase I as part of the 45S precursor that also contains 18S and 28S rRNA. Functionally, it is thought that 5.8S rRNA may be involved in ribosome translocation.
Source: RNAcentral
AACUUUCAGCAACGGAUCUCUUGGCUCUCGCAUCGAUGAAGAACGCAGCGAAAUGCGAUAAGUAAUGUGAAUUGCAGAAUUCAGUGAAUCAUCGAAUCUUUGAACGCACCUUGCGCCCCUUGGUAUUCCGAGGGGCAUGCCUGUUUGAGUGUCAUUAA